GGGGAUGUGGCGCAACCGGAAGACGCAGCGGGCUUAGACCCCGCGUGUUGUGAGUUCGACUCUCACCAUCCCUACCA
RNAcentral lists this transfer RNA (77 nucleotides) under Gammaproteobacteria bacterium. RNAcentral's name for it is "tRNA-Leu". It matches the Rfam family "tRNA". Rfam says of the family: Transfer RNA (tRNA) molecules are approximately 80 nucleotides in length. The record is from RNAcentral. Lineage: Bacteria; Pseudomonadati; Pseudomonadota; Gammaproteobacteria.